RNAcentral lists this ribosomal RNA (498 nucleotides) under uncultured bacterium. RNAcentral's name for it is "partial 16S ribosomal RNA". It matches the Rfam family "Bacterial small subunit ribosomal RNA", at positions 29 to 523 of the family's 1533-position model. The record is from RNAcentral.
AGUGAACGCUGGCGGUAGGCCUAACACAUGCAGGUCGAACGGUAACAGGUCUUCGGAUGCUGACGAGUGGCGAACGGGUGAGUAAUACAUCGGAACGUGCCUAGUAGUGGGGGAUAACUACUCGAAAGAGUGGCUAAUACCGCAUGAGAUCUACGGAUGAAAGCAGGGGAUCGCAAGACCUUGUGCUACUAGAGCGGCCGAUGGCAGAUUAGGUAGUUGGUGGGAUAAAAGCUUACCAAGCCGACGAUCUGUAGCUGGUCUGAGAGGACGAUCAGCCACACUGGGACUGAGACACGGCCCAGACUCCUACGGGAGGCAGCAGUGGGGAAUUUUGGACAAUGGGCGCAAGCCUGAUCCAGCAAUGCCGCGUGCAGGAUGAAGGCCUUCGGGUUGUAAACUGCUUUUGUACGGAACGAAAAGCCCUGGGUUAAUACCCUGGGGUCAUGACGGUACCGUAAGAAUAAGCACCGGCUAACUACGUGCCAGCCGCCGCCGUAA